This 493-nucleotide ribosomal RNA is filed under the name uncultured bacterium. Its description in RNAcentral is "bacterial SSU rRNA". It matches the Rfam family "Bacterial small subunit ribosomal RNA", at positions 37 to 518 of the family's 1533-position model. The record is from RNAcentral.
UGGCGGCGCGUUUAAGCAUGCAAGUCGAGCGGCAAGGGCCGUCGGGCCCCUAGAGCGGCGGACGGGUGAGUAACACGUGGACAAUCCUGCCCCCCGGCCCGGGAUAGCCCAGGGAAACCUGGAUUAAUACCGGAUGAGACGGGACCCGCGAUGGCGGGAUCCGGGAAAGGCGCUGCGGCGGCCGCCGGGGGAUGAGUCUGCGUCCCAUUAGCUAGACGGCGGGGUAACGGCCCACCGUGGCGACGAUGGGUAGCCGGCCUGAGAGGGUGGACGGCCACAUUGGAACUGAGACACGGUCCAGACUCCUACGGGGAGGCAGCAGCUAAGAAUCUUCCGCAAUGGGCGAAAGCCUGACGGAGCGACGCCGCGUGAACGAAGAAGGCCGUGAGGUUGUAAAGUUCUUUUCGGGAGGGGGAACAACCGUGGCAGGGAAUGGCCGCGGGAUGACGUGAAUCCCGGAAUAAGCCCCGGCUAACUACGUGCCAGCAGCAGC